Molecule: small RNA, 581 nt
Filed under: Pan troglodytes (chimpanzee)
Lineage: Eukaryota; Metazoa; Chordata; Mammalia; Primates; Hominidae
Description: retained intron
Source: RNAcentral
AAUGCUGGGGAGAUGAAGAUAGUGUGUGGCUGCUUCUGGACUCAAGGAGGAGGAGAGAGAUUCCGCGAGCCGACACCAUGCGAUCCAAGGCGAGGGCGAGGAAGCUAGCCAAAAGUGACGGUGACAUUGUAAAUAAUAUGUAUGAGCCCAACCGGGACCUGCUGGCCAGCCACAGCGCGGAGGACGAGGCCGAGGACAGUGCCAUGUCGCCCAUCCCCGUGGGGCCACCGUCCCCCUUCCCCACCAGCGAGGACUUCACCCCCAAGGAGGGCUCGCCGUACGAGGCCCCUGUCUACAUUCCUGAAGACAUUCCGAUCCCAGCAGACUUCGAGCUCCGAGAGUCCUCCAUCCCAGGGGCUGGCCUGGGGGUCUGGGCCAAGAGGAAGAUGGAAGCCGGGGAGAGGCUGGGCCCCUGCGUGGUGGUGCCCCGGGCGGCGGCAAAGGAGACAGACUUCGGAUGGGAGGUGAGCGAUCGCGCCUGAGUAUGAUUGAUCACGGCCAUUUAUCUUGUGUUCAAUCUAUUUAUAAAGCCGGGCUGAGCAGCCACUGCCCGAGGCGGGAGGCGCGGCCAGAGAGAGCGU